RNAcentral lists this ribosomal RNA (384 nucleotides) under Corynebacterium diphtheriae. Its description in RNAcentral is "bacterial LSU rRNA". It matches the Rfam family "Bacterial large subunit ribosomal RNA", at positions 1215 to 1605 of the family's 2925-position model. Lineage: Bacteria; Bacillati; Actinomycetota; Actinomycetes; Mycobacteriales; Corynebacteriaceae. The record is from RNAcentral.
UUUUGUUGGUUGGGUAGGGGAGCGUCGUGCACUGCUGUGAAGCACCUGGGUGACUUGAUGGUGUGGAGUGUGUGCGAGUGAGAAUGCAGGCAUGAGUAACGAAUGAAAAGUGGAAAACUUUUCCGCCGGAUGACUAAGGGUUCCUGGGUUAAGCUAAUCUUCCCAGGGUGAGUCGGGACCUAAGGCGAGGCCGACAGGCGUAGUCGAUGGAUAACCAGUUGAUAUUCUGGUACCCGUGUAUGUGCGCCCAGUGGUGAAUCAGUGGUACUAACCAUCCAUGGAUCUGCUGGUCAUGCUUUUUGUGUGGUUGGUGGUGAUGUGCGUGGGAUCUUCGUUGGUAGUAGCCAAGUGAUGGGGUGACGCAGUGAGGUAGCUGAGCCAUUU